GCUUAUGGCCAUGCACGCCUGAGCUCGUCUGAUCUCAGAAGCUAAGCAGGGUCAGGCCUGGUUAGUACUUGGAUAGGAGACCGGCUGGGAACACCAGGUGCUGUAAACU
Molecule: ribosomal RNA, 109 nt
Filed under: Amphilophus citrinellus (Midas cichlid)
Lineage: Eukaryota; Metazoa; Chordata; Actinopteri; Cichliformes; Cichlidae
Source: RNAcentral